This 233-nucleotide ribosomal RNA is filed under the name uncultured bacterium. Its description in RNAcentral is "partial 16S ribosomal RNA". It matches the Rfam family "Bacterial small subunit ribosomal RNA", at positions 100 to 334 of the family's 1533-position model. The record is from RNAcentral.
CGGGACGGGUGGGUAAUGUCUGGGAAACUGCCUGAUGGAGGGGGAUAACUACUGGAAACGGGAGCUAAUACCGCAUAACGUCGCAAGACCAAAGAGGGGGACCUUCGGGCCUCUUGCCAUCGGAUGUGCCCAGAUGGGAUUAGCUAGUAGGUGGGGUAACGGCUCACCUAGGCGACGAUCCCUAGCUGGUCUGAGAGGAUGACCAGCCACACUGGAACUGAGACACGGUCCAG